RNAcentral lists this long non-coding RNA (211 nucleotides) under Brassica napus (rape). Its description in RNAcentral is "long non-coding RNA (BNAP_LNC023137)". Lineage: Eukaryota; Viridiplantae; Streptophyta; Magnoliopsida; Brassicales; Brassicaceae. The record is from RNAcentral.
GAGCAGAUGGAGAUGUUGUUGCUGCCUUUGUGUCUGUCAGGAUUGUCUCUUGUAUCUCCUCGUGUAGAUGUGUUUGUUUAUCUUUUAUUUGACGGGUAAUAUGUAAACAAAAAUCAUUGUUAGUAGUAUUUAUCAGAGUUCGUAAUUUACUUUGUUUUUUUGUUUAGGUAAUUUUACUGAUUUUGGUUGUCGUCUUCGUCUUCUUCGUUGC